This 1748-nucleotide long non-coding RNA is filed under the name Corvus moneduloides (New Caledonian crow). RNAcentral describes it as "lncRNA (ENSCMUG00000017331.1)". Lineage: Eukaryota; Metazoa; Chordata; Aves; Passeriformes; Corvidae. The record is from RNAcentral.
GGUGACGUCACGGCCCCCGCGCCCCCCGGCGGAGCGGGGAGGGCUCGGGGUGUCCCGCCCCGCGGUGACGUCACGCGGCGGCGGCUCGGGGAAUGACAUCACCUGUGCGAGUGGCCGGCGGGCGGGAGCUCGCGCCGCAGUGUCCCCGCGCCGCGGCCCCAGCGCAGCCGCCGGGCGGAGGCGGAGGGACAGCGGGGAGGCGGAGGAGGAGGAGGAGGAGGAGGAGGAGGGCGGGGAGGGCGGCCGCGGCCCCUCGCAGCCCCUCCGCCGGCAGCAUGGGAGCGGGCGGCCGCGCCGGCAGGCUCAGCUCUUCUCCAUGCUGGAUAUGCUUGGUGGAAGUCAAACCUCUGCCUUGAAGGGGAGCAGCCACUGCAGCUGAGCUGGGAAUAGCUCCAGGAUCUUCAGCAUCAAGGUGCAAUCCCUCGUCCACUGAGCAAACCUUGAAACAGAUCCUGGCACAUCCAUGGUCCUGGGCAGACAUCUGAAGAGCUGCUGACCCAGGAGAGCUUUCUUCAAGGAAUAGUUCAGAAAAGGGACCUGAGCUGGUGGAUUCCUUUGGUACAUGGAGGAACACACUGUAGAUAUUCUGAAAAAACAAAAUCAAAUGGGAGAACAGGUAGUGGAGCUCUUUGAAAGUUGUUCAAAGGGACUCUGUCAAUGUGAAACUCCUAUUUAUGGGGGGUUUUUUUCUGCCGCCUCCUUUCUUUUGUUGAUACAAUCUUGGAAGUGGGAGGAGGAUUUACAAAAAUGCUUGUGUUUUUAAGCUGCUGCUUCAGACACCUUUUUUCCCUGGUAAAUAUUGUGUAAGAAGCUGAAAAGAAAAACACAGGAAACAAACACAGAAAAGUCCUCAUCAGACCCUUUCUCUAAUCACUUCAGAACCUGAAAACCAGCUUUGUCAUGGGCUGUGCUGUAAAUGUGUCCCCACAGAUGCACCAAGGACAGACCUGUAAAACCCAUCCGAACCUUUAAACCAGACCAGUGACUCCUCUAAAGGUCUGUUGGGACAGAGCAGGGGCUCAGCCCUGCUGGGGCUCUCUGGGAGGCACCUCCAGACGCCUUUGGUCGUUCUUCAGGUGGAUUCAUCAGUCUCUGACUGGGAAGGAUUACUUUGGGGUUUUGAAGGGCGUGUGAAAUAGCCUCGAAGUCAAGGGAAGAGAAGCACGCUUCAGCCUCUGCUGUGCUGGACUCCAUCAGGACAUCCCCAGGGCCGGCGAUGAGGACCACGGCAGCAGAGGGAAGGCAGCCAACACUUCAAGCAAUAAAAGUGAGUUUUUAGAAAGUUUUCUGCUGCUGGUUUCAGCAGCAGCAGCAGCACUGGGAUGGUAUGAGUGGUGUACAGACCUGGCACAUGAAGCCAAGGGCAACUGAGGAAGGUGUGAAUUUACUGAAAUAAGCACCAGAAGCUCUGUGGAAGCUACUUUUUGUCUCCUUCAGGUGCUCACUGGUUACUAGGAGGCUGUGUAUGGGCUGAGCAGCCUCAGGAGAAGGUUAUAUCAGAGCAGACUUAGAUUUUCCUGUAAAUUAACAAGUGAAGGCAGAACUUGUGGGGUCCCUUGGCUUUUCCUUCCCUGCCUGGCUCAUGGGAACUCCAUAUGUGCUUUGGCUGCUGGGCGAUGCUCAAACAAGCUCAUGCUAGAGCCGUACCAGCCCUGGGUUUGCAAGGAGCAGGGCUCUUAAAUGAGUGUUUUCUUGGGGAUUUGCAUUGGUUUGGCUGAACUGUUUGGAAAAGUGCAAGAGAACAGGGA